Molecule: ribosomal RNA, 468 nt
Filed under: uncultured bacterium
Lineage: Bacteria
Description: partial 16S ribosomal RNA
Rfam family: Bacterial small subunit ribosomal RNA
Source: RNAcentral
GACGAACGCUGGCGGCGUGCUUAACACAUGCAAGUCGAACGGAAAGGCCCUGCUUUUGUGGGGUGCUCGAGUGGCGAACGGGUGAGUAACACGAGAGUAACCUGCCCUUGACUUUGGGAUAACUUCAGGAAACUGGGGCUAAUACCGGAUAGGAGCUCCUGCUGCAUGGCGGGGGUUGGAAAGUUUCGGCGGUUGGGGAUGGACUCGCGGCUUAUCAGCUUGUUGGUGGGGUAGUGGCUUACCAAGGCUUUGACGGGUAGCCGGCCUGAGAGGGUGACCGGCCACAUUGGGACUGAGAUACGGCCCAGACUCCUACGGGAGGCAGCAGUGGGGAAUAUUGCACAAUGGGCGGAAGCCUGAUGCAGCAACGCCGCGUGCGGGAUGACGGCCUUCGGGUUGUAAACCGCUUUCGCCUGUGACGAAGCGUGAGUGACGGUAAUGGGUAAAGAAGCACCGGCUAACUACGUG